CCUACGGGAGGCAGCAGUGGGGAAUAUUGGACAAUGGGGGGAACCCUGAUCCCGCGACGCCGCGUGAGUGAAGAAGUAUUUCGGUAUGUAAAGCUCUAUCAGCAGGGAAGAAGAUGACGGUGCCUGAAGAAUAAGCCCCGGCUAACUACGAGCCAGCAGCAGCGGUAAUACGUAGGGGGCAGGCGUCAGCCGGAGUUACUGGGUGUAAAGGGAGCGUAGACGGUGAGUCAAGUCUGAAGUGAACGCACGGGGCGCAACCCCGGGACUGCUGUGGAAACUCUAGGAUUGGAGUGCUGGAGAGGUAAGCGGAAUUCCUAGUGUAGCGGUGAAAUGCGUAGAUAUGAGGAAGAACACCAGUGGCGAAGGCGGCUUGCUGGACAGUAACUGACGUUGAGGCUCGAAAGCGUGGGGAGCAAACAGGAUUAGAUACCCGUGUAGUC
Molecule: ribosomal RNA, 440 nt
Filed under: uncultured bacterium
Lineage: Bacteria
Description: partial 16S ribosomal RNA
Rfam family: Bacterial small subunit ribosomal RNA
Source: RNAcentral